UGCUGCUGGUUUCUCUAGGACAUGUGCACACUUGUCAUCUUUAUAUCUCCACCUGUGCACCUCUUGUAGACCUGGAUAUUUUUCUGAAUAUUAUUAUUCAAGUUUGAGGAUUGAUUUUUCUGUCUCUCCUUACAUUUCCAGGCCUAUGUUUUCUUCAUAUAUACCCCAAUGUAUGUUAUAGAAUGUAAUCAAUGGGCCUUUGUGCCUAUAAAUCUAUACAACUUUCAGCAACGGAUCUCUUGGCUCUCGCAUCGAUGAAGAACGCAGCGAAAUGCGAUAAGUAAUGUGAAUUGCAGAAUUCAGUGAAUCAUCGAAUCUUUGAACGCACCUUGCGCUCCUUGGUAUUCCGAGGAGCAUGCCUGUUUGAGUGUCAUUAAUAUAUCAACUUCUUCAACUUUUGCUUGUCGAGUGUUGGAUGUGGGGGGUUCUUUUUUUGCCGGGUCUCUUUUAAUUGAGGUCGGCUCCCCUGAAAUGCAUUAGCGGAACAAUUUGUUGACCGUUCAUUGGUGUGAUAAACUAUCUACGCUAUUGACGUGAGCCAGUUCAGCUUCUAACAAUCCAUUGACUUGGAUAAAUUUUUAUUAAUGUGACCUCAAAUCACGUAGGACUACCCGCUGAACUUAAGCAUAUC
This 631-nucleotide ribosomal RNA is filed under the name Cortinarius sp. YM2131. RNAcentral describes it as "eukaryotic LSU rRNA". The stretch from base 220 to 373 matches the Rfam family "5.8S ribosomal RNA". Lineage: Eukaryota; Fungi; Basidiomycota; Agaricomycetes; Agaricales; Cortinariaceae. The record is from RNAcentral.